GGGAGCUGAGUCACUGGAGCCAUAACAGGCUCUGUGUUCCCAGGCCUCAUUGGGCAGCACAUGAAGGAACGACGGCAGGAGGAGUUCCAGAUCACCUGUGAUGGUCACCUGAAGCAUGUAUUCAGCGGUUCUGAUCAUGAGAUGACUGAACCAACAGCCGUCUCUCCUCUGGCUCCCUCUGC
Motacilla alba alba is the source of this 182-nucleotide long non-coding RNA. RefSeq lists it as uncharacterized. Lineage: Eukaryota; Metazoa; Chordata; Aves; Passeriformes; Motacillidae. The record is from RefSeq and is a predicted model, not a curated record. The transcript is spliced from 3 exons.